Molecule: ribosomal RNA, 598 nt
Filed under: uncultured bacterium
Lineage: Bacteria
Description: bacterial SSU rRNA
Rfam family: Bacterial small subunit ribosomal RNA
Source: RNAcentral
GCAGUCGAGCGCUACCUUCGGGUGGAGCGGCGGACGGGUUAGUAACGCGUGGGAACGUACCCAGAUCUGCGGAAUAGCCUUUGGAAACGAAGAGUAAUACCGCAUACGCCCUUCGGGGGAAAGAUUUAUCGGAUUUGGAUCGGCCCGCGUAAGAUUAGAUAGUUGGUGGGGUAAUGGCCUACCAAGUCUACGAUCUUUAGCUGGUUUGAGAGGAUGAUCAGCAACACUGGGACUGAGACACGGCCCAGACUCCUACGGGAGGCAGCAGUGGGGAAUCUUAGACAAUGGGCGCAAGCCUGAUCUAGCGAUGCCGCGUGAGUGAUGAAGGCCUUAGGGUCGUAAAGCUCUUUCGCCUGUGAUGAUAAUGACAGUAGCAGGUAAAGAAACCCCGGCUAACUCCGUGCCAGCAGCCGCGGUAAUACGGAGGGGGUUAGCGUUGUUCGGAAUUACUGGGCGUAAAGCGCACGUAGGCGGAUUAAUAAGUCAGAGGUGAAAUCCCAGGGCUCAACCCUGGAACUGCCUUUGAUACUGUUAGUCUUGAGUUCGAGAGAGGUAAGUGGAAUUCCGAGUGUAGAGGUGAAAUUCGUAGAUAUUCGGA